GACGAACGCUGGCGGCGUGCUUAACACAUGCAAGUCGAACGAUGGUGCCCAGCUUGCUGGGCGGAUUAGUGGCGAACGGGUGAGUAACACGUGAGUAACCUGCCCUUGACUUCGGGAUAACUCCGGGAAACCGGGGCUAAUACCGGAUAUGAGCCGUCCUCGCAUGGGGGUGGUUGGAAAGUUUUUCGGUCAGGGAUGGGCUCGCGGCCUAUCAGCUUGUUGGUGGGGUGAUGGCCUACCAAGGCGACGACGGGUAGCCGGCCUGAGAGGGCGACCGGCCACACUGGGACUGAGACACGGCCCAGACUCCUACGGGAGGCAGCAGUGGGGAAUAUUGCACAAUGGGCGAAAGCCUGAUGCAGCGACGCCGCGUGAGGGAUGAAGGCCUUCGGGUUGUAAACCUCUUUCAGCAGGGAAGAAGCGCAAGUGACGGUACCUGCAGAAGAAGCGCCGGCUAACUACGUGCCAGCAGCCGCGGUAAUACGUAGGGCGCAAGCGUUGUCCGGAAUUAUUGGGCGUAAAGAGCUCGUAGGCGGUUUGUCGCGUCUGGUGUGAAAACUCGAGGCUCAACCUCGAGCUUGCAUCGGGUACGGGCAGACUAGAGUGCGGUAGGGGAGACUGGAAUUCCUGGUGUAGCGGUGGAAUGCGCAGAUAUCAGGAGGAACACCGAUGGCGAAGGCAGGUCCCUGGGCCGCAACUGACGCUGAGGAGCGAAAGCAUGGGGAGCGAACAGG
Molecule: ribosomal RNA, 734 nt
Filed under: uncultured Cellulosimicrobium sp.
Lineage: Bacteria; Bacillati; Actinomycetota; Actinomycetes; Micrococcales; Promicromonosporaceae
Description: bacterial SSU rRNA
Rfam family: Bacterial small subunit ribosomal RNA
Source: RNAcentral